Molecule: long non-coding RNA, 622 nt
Organism: Mus musculus (house mouse)
Lineage: Eukaryota; Metazoa; Chordata; Mammalia; Rodentia; Muridae
Product: predicted gene, 34122
Exons: 3
Source: RefSeq, a predicted model, not a curated record
AGCAACCAGAAGGCUAUUUUUGAUAUCUUUGCCAUAAGCACCUAAAUCAGUCUCCACAACAUGAACUUGACAAUGAAGAACACACAGAAGAAGCCUGAUUCAGGAUGGCACCCCCACAUCUGUUGGUAGUCACAGUCCAGCAGAGAAAUCAGAUGAGUGCCACUGUGGUAAAAUUCCACUGAUUAUUAACUGCAGACACAAAGCUAGACAGAGCAUCAGAGUCUGAAGCAUCAGGUCUGAUUAGGAUAGACAAUGAGUAGAAAAUCUUACAGUGGAGUGUGUGCGGCUAAAGCUUCCUGCUUAGUGCACUGUUGAGCUCAACUUGUGAUAUCUCCGACACUGAGAGAAACUUGCCCAAGAACUGCUUGAGAGGGUCUUGCUACAGCUUGCUGCUUUUGGGGCCUUGCCUCAGGCCAGUUGGUGAGCCUGGCAGUUUCUUUAGGAUUGAACUACAGCUGCCUGGUGUCUGCUUGCUGGAAGGACUGGCCUGCAGCUGCUGAAUUGUAUUUGGUGUUUGCUAUGGGACUGAACUGCUGCCAAAGAAGAUCAAGUUCGCCUCCAAAGAACUAUUGGUGAAUAGGUCUACUUCCCCCAUAUCCUAAUAACUUUUCUCUUCCACUAC